UUUGGUUGGUAUUUAGAUGCUCAAAAGAAUAUGUUUCAUCAAAUUUGUUUUUCCCACGUGUUUGUAGACCGCGGCUUCAAUCCCGUUAUCAGUAUGUACUCACGUGUUCUUGAUAGAAAUAAAACAUGCGAGUUUGGCUGAUGCUCACCAUACAGGACAGGACUCCUCCAGAAAAUGUCCGCAAACUAGAGUAAGCCGAGUGUCUGCCCCAUCUGCCUAAAGGAAAACGGGGUCCGGAAGGAAUGCCUCCGGUUGAAUUACCGCCUGCGGGCCAAACACGGCCUCUCGAGUAUACUGAAUUUUGUGACACGCUGAAUUAUGCAAGACACGAAAUGAAAUCACGUGUAGCAUAUGGGCAUUUGAUAGGCCCGUAUUCUGGAAUGGGAAAACAACAUCCUUGAUAAUACAAGUAGACGACGAAGAAAGGCUAACAACAACUACAAAGUUAGAAAACUGUCGUUAUAGCAGUUGCUUCCCUUUGAUAACAAAGAUACAAAGUCAAGCUUUCGACGAUCGGGAACGUUCUAUUAAGGUCACAAUAUACCAAAAGAUUUCCUUAACAAAUUCAAUGUAAAACCGACAACUUCAACGAAAAAUAAAGUCAAACUUUUGCGCGUAGACACCCCCAUACCCAUGCCUUUUCUUAAAGAGCAUGCCAAGCCGAAUGGAUUUACACAAUAAAAAAGAUAGGUCAUCCAGUAUGUAAGAAAGAACUCGACGCGAAUCAACGGUCACUGUUUUAAGACCACCUUUUUACCGGCUGAUCUCCAGUUGAUGAGGGUUUCCCGCCAUCUGUCAAAAUCUCAUGUAGUCUCCAACCUAUAAGCAAAACACUGAAUUUGUAGUAUACAACAAUGUUUUUCCUACCACAUGCACACAGAAAUAUUCAAAAAUAAAGUCAUGGCAUAUGCCCAUACAGAGAAUUGUGUCUUCAAAUAAAUGACGUUCCAUUCUUUACAGGGUAUAGCAUUGAACACAAAAAUGAUUUAGUAUAUUGUAACCUAAAUGACUGAUUUAGCACCAAGCUCACGUUUCGGUCACAAUGGGGCGAGUCACACUAUGGGGCGAGUCGUUAAGGGGGCGAGUCGUUACAUUACCUCACAAUGGUACUUAACUUUGCAUGCUGUGCCCCCUAUUAUCGGACAUAUAAAGAAACGUUGUGUUAUCCGAGUAAAUGUGUUUUUACUGUUUUUUUACAUUCUUCGAAGUCUUUUGUUUGACUUCUCGCGUUUACUAUGUUCGGUGUGUGUCGGUUAUAUGUGCAAAAAAGAUAUGUAUUACAAAUAUAACAAAUAAUAACUGAA
Long non-coding RNA from Dreissena polymorpha, 1304 nucleotides. RefSeq lists it as uncharacterized. The record is from RefSeq and is a predicted model, not a curated record. The transcript is spliced from 4 exons. Lineage: Eukaryota; Metazoa; Mollusca; Bivalvia; Myida; Dreissenidae.